This 1477-nucleotide ribosomal RNA is filed under the name Salmonella enterica subsp. enterica serovar Paratyphi B var. L(+) tartrate +. Its description in RNAcentral is "partial 23S ribosomal RNA". It matches the Rfam family "Bacterial large subunit ribosomal RNA", at positions 684 to 2141 of the family's 2925-position model. The record is from RNAcentral. Lineage: Bacteria; Pseudomonadati; Pseudomonadota; Gammaproteobacteria; Enterobacterales; Enterobacteriaceae.
UUAAUUGGGCGUUAAGUUGCAGGGUAUAGACCCGAAACCCGGUGAUCUAGCCAUGGGCAGGUUGAAGGUUGGGUAACACUAACUGGAGGACCGAACCGACUAAUGUUGAAAAAUUAGCGGAUGACCUGUGGCUGGGGGUGAAAGGCCAAUCAAACCGGGAGAUAGCUGGUUCUCCCCGAAAGCUAUUUAGGUAGCGCCUCGUGAAUUCAUCUCCGGGGGUAGAGCACUGUUUCGGCUAGGGGGCCAUCCCGGCUUACCAACCCGAUGCAAACUGCGAAUACCGGAGAAUGUUAUCACGGGAGACACACGGCGGGUGCUAACGUCCGUCGUGAAGAGGGAAACAACCCAGACCGCCAGCUAAGGUCCCAAAGUCAUGGUUAAGUGGGAAACGAUGUGGGAAGGCCCAGACAGCCAGGAUGUUGGCUUAGAAGCAGCCAUCAUUUAAAGAAAGCGUAAUAGCUCACUGGUCGAGUCGGCCUGCGCGGAAGAUGUAACGGGGCUAAACCAUGCACCGAAGCUGCGGCAGCGACGCUUAUGCGUUGUUGGGUAGGGGAGCGUUCUGUAAGCCUGUGAAGGUGUGCUGUGAGGCAUGCUGGAGGUAUCAGAAGUGCGAAUGCUGACAUAAGUAACGAUAAAGCGGGUGAAAAGCCCGCUCGCCGGAAGACCAAGGGUUCCUGUCCAACGUUAAUCGGGGCAGGGUGAGUCGACCCCUAAGGCGAGGCCGAAAGGCGUAGUCGAUGGGAAACGGGUUAAUAUUCCCGUACUUGGUGUUACUGCGAAGGGGGGACGGAGAAGGCUAUGUUGGCCGGGCGACGGUUGUCCCGGUUUAAGCGUGUAGGUGUGUGUUCCAGGUAAAUCCGGUUCACUUUAACACUGAGGCGUGAUGACGAGGCACUACGGUGCUGAAGCAACAAAUGCCCUGCUUCCAGGAAAAGCCUCUAAGCAUCAGGUAACAUCAAAUCGUACCCCAAACCGACACAGGUGGUCAGGUAGAGAAUACCAAGGCGCUUGAGAGAACUCGGGUGAAGGAACUAGGCAAAAUGGUGCCGUAACUUCGGGAGAAGGCACGCUGACACGUAGGUGAAGUGAUUUACUCACGGAGCUGAAGUCAGUCGAAGAUACCAGCUGGCUGCAACUGUUUAUUAAAAACACAGCACUGUGCAAACACGAAAGUGGACGUAUACGGUGUGACGCCUGCCCGGUGCCGGAAGGUUAAUUGAUGGGGUCAGCGCAAGCGAAGCUCCUGAUCGAAGCCCCGGUAAACGGCGGCCGUAACUAUAACGGUCCUAAGGUAGCGAAAUUCCUUGUCGGGUAAGUUCCGACCUGCACGAAUGGCGUAAUGAUGGCCAGGCUGUCUCCACCCGAGACUCAGUGAAAUUGAACUCGCUGUGAAGAUGCAGUGUACCCGCGGCAAGACGGAAAGACCCCGUGAACCUUUACUAUAGCUUGACACUGAACAUUGAGCCUUGAUGUGUAG